Molecule: ribosomal RNA, 422 nt
Filed under: uncultured bacterium
Lineage: Bacteria
Description: partial 16S ribosomal RNA
Rfam family: Bacterial small subunit ribosomal RNA
Source: RNAcentral
GAUUGUUGGACAAUGGGCGAAAGCCUGCUCCAGCAAUGCCGCGUGCAGGAUGAAGGCCUUCGGGUGGUAAACUGCUUUUGUACGGAACGAAAAGCUUUGGGUUAAUAACCUGGAGGCAUGAAGGUACCGUAAGAACAAGGAGCGGCUAACUACGUGCCAGCAGCCGCGGUAAUCCGUAGGGUGCAAGCGUUAAUCGGAAGUACUGGGCGGAAAGCGUGCGCAGGCGGUUUUGUAAGACAGAGGUGAAAUCCCCGGGCUCAACCUGGGAACUGCCUUUGUGACUGCAAGGCUAGAGUACGGCAGAGGGGGUGGAAUUCCGCGUGUAGCAGUGAAAUGCGUAGAUAUGCGGAGGAACACCGAUGGCGAAGGCAACCCCCUGGGCCUGUACUGACGCUCAUGCACGAAAGCGUGGGGAGCAAACA